UACGUAGGUGGCAAGCGUUAUCCGGAAUUAUUGGGCGUAAAGCGCGCGCAGGCGGUUGGUCAAGUCUGAUGUGAAAGCCCGGGGCUCAGCCCCGGAAGGGCAUCGGAAACUAGCCAGCUGGAGCGCGAUAGAGGAGGGUGGAAUUCCUGGUGUGGCGGUGAAAUGCGUAGAUAUCAGGAGGAACACCGGCGGCGAAGGCGGCCCUCUGGAUCGUUGCUGACGCUGAGACGCGAAAGCGUGGGGAGCAAACAGG
This 253-nucleotide ribosomal RNA is filed under the name uncultured bacterium. Its description in RNAcentral is "partial 16S ribosomal RNA". It matches the Rfam family "Bacterial small subunit ribosomal RNA", at positions 524 to 776 of the family's 1533-position model. The record is from RNAcentral.